This 1378-nucleotide ribosomal RNA is filed under the name bacterium C1116. RNAcentral describes it as "bacterial SSU rRNA". It matches the Rfam family "Bacterial small subunit ribosomal RNA", at positions 67 to 1444 of the family's 1533-position model. The record is from RNAcentral.
CGGCAGCACGGGUGCUUGCACCUGGUGGCGAGUGGCGAACGGGUGAGUAAUAUAUCGGAACGUACCCUAGAGUGGGGGAUAACGCAGCGAAAGUUGCGCUAAUACCGCAUACGAUCUACGGAUGAAAGUGGGGGAUCGCAAGACCUCAUGCUCAUGGAGCGGCCGAUAUCUGAUUAGCUAGUUGGUGGGGUAAAAGCCUACCAAGGCAUCGAUCAGUAGCUGGUCUGAGAGGACGACCAGCCACACUGGAACUGAGACACGGUCCAGACUCCUACGGGAGGCAGCAGUGGGGAAUUUUGGACAAUGGGCGCAAGCCUGAUCCAGCAAUGCCGCGUGAGUGAAGAAGGCCUUCGGGUUGUAAAGCUCUUUUGUCAGGGAAGAAACGGUGAGGGCUAAUAUCCUUUGCUAAUGACGGUACCUGAAGAAUAAGCACCGGCUAACUACGUGCCAGCAGCCGCGGUAAUACGUAGGGUGCAAGCGUUAAUCGGAAUUACUGGGCGUAAAGCGUGCGCAGGCGGUUAUGUAAGUCAGAUGUGAAAUCCCCGGGCUCAACCUGGGAAUGGCAUUUGAGACUGCAUGGCUAGAGUGUGUCAGAGGGGGGUAGAAUUCCACGUGUAGCAGUGAAAUGCGUAGAGAUGUGGAGGAAUACCGAUGGCGAAGGCAGCCCCCUGGGAUAACACUGACGCUCAUGCACGAAAGCGUGGGGAGCAAACAGGAUUAGAUACCCUGGUAGUCCACGCCCUAAACGAUGUCUACUAGUUGUCGGGACUUAAUUGUCUUGGUAACGCAGCUAACGCGUGAAGUAGACCGCCUGGGGAGUACGGUCGCAAGAUUAAAACUCAAAGGAAUUGACGGGGACCCGCACAAGCGGUGGAUGAUGUGGAUUAAUUCGAUGCAACGCGAAAAACCUUACCUACCCUUGACAUGUACGGAACCUCUGAGAGAUUAGAGGGUGCUCGAAAGAGAGCCGUAACACAGGUGCUGCAUGGCUGUCGUCAGCUCGUGUCGUGAGAUGUUGGGUUAAGUCCCGCAACGAGCGCAACCCUUGUCAUUAGUUGCUACGAAAGGGCACUCUAAUGAGACUGCCGGUGACAAACCGGAGGAAGGUGGGGAUGACGUCAAGUCCUCAUGGCCCUUAUGGGUAGGGCUUCACACGUCAUACAAUGGUACAUACAGAGGGCCGCCAACCCGCGAGGGGGAGCUAAUCCCAGAAAGUGUAUCGUAGUCCGGAUUGUAGUCUGCAACUCGACUACAUGAAGUUGGAAUCGCUAGUAAUCGCGGAUCAGCAUGUCGCGGUGAAUACGUUCCCGGGUCUUGUACACACCGCCCGUCACACCAUGGGAGCGGGUUUCACCAGAAGUAGGUAGCCUAACCGCAA